RNAcentral lists this ribosomal RNA (395 nucleotides) under Jassidophaga sp. B. RNAcentral describes it as "partial 12S ribosomal RNA". Lineage: Eukaryota; Metazoa; Arthropoda; Insecta; Diptera; Pipunculidae. The record is from RNAcentral.
CGACGGGCGAUGUGUACAUAUUUUAUAACUAAAAUCAAAUAAUUAAUCUAUAUUAUUUUACUAUCAAAUCCACUUUCAAUAAAAUAUUUCAAUUUUACAUUCAUUUAAAUUUAUUUAUUGUAACCCAUAAUAAAACUUAAAUAUAAGCUACACCUUUAUCUGAUAUAAAUUUUUAUAUAAAUUAAAGAAAAUUAUUAAUUUUUUAAAAAUAUUCUUAUAACGACGAUAUAUAAACUAAAACAAAUUUAAGUAAGAUUCAACGUGGAAUAUCAAUUAAUAUACAGGUUCCUCUGAAUAGAAUAAAAUACCGCCAAAUUUUUUAAGUUUCAAGAUCAUAACUAAUACUACUCAAAUAAAUAAUAAAUACAUUNAUAAUAAUAGGGUAUCUAAUCCUA